RNAcentral lists this non-coding RNA (24 nucleotides) under Arabidopsis thaliana (thale cress). The record is from RNAcentral. Lineage: Eukaryota; Viridiplantae; Streptophyta; Magnoliopsida; Brassicales; Brassicaceae.
AAAGAAUUGAUUUGGCCACCUAUG